CAGAAGCAGCGUACAUGCAGGAAGAAAAAGGGAUGAAUUCCAAAACCUAGGUUGAUCUUCAAACAAAGAUAACUUUUGAUCCGGAGCUUCGAUUGACGAACCGUUUGCGACUACGCGUUCACCACGACGAGCUCUACAAAACUCAUGGAACAAUUUUGUAGGUUCAAAUUAGCUUCCGAAACUUAUGGGUUCAAGCUAUUGAGCAUAUGGGUAUGGUGUAGAUUAAGUGGGUAAAUAUGCAUUGGAAUUUAAUUGGGAAUAUUUAGAGGCUUGUUGGUGAUCAAAGCUUAGUUUGUGGCUGUUUUACUUGAGCUUGGAGGGGCUAUAAUUUUGUGUUGAGAGGCUACCUUGGGUGAAUUAAGUGAUCGGCCAAGAUGCAGGUCGAGAGGCUCCUCGCUAGGCGUUUGGAUCCUGGAGCGGAGUAGUCCUUGGGUUAUUUUGGGCUUUAUGAUUGUAUAUAUAUGUACCUAUGUACUUAGCUUGCUCUCCAAGAAACUUGCUUAUUAUGUUCCUCAUAGAGGUUACAGGAGAGUUAGGACUUUAUUUCUGUAUUUUAGGUAUUUUGGGAUACUUGUAUAUAUAUAUGUGUGUAAAUAUUCUCCGGCCAGUCUUGGCUUCACAGGUUGAGUCAGGAGCUAGUUUCACUGUACCCUUGGCUCUCUUUUCGUUCUUGUGCUUAUUUAUGUCUAUAACCUUUAGGUUUCUUAGCACGCAAGAAAUUCUGUUUCUUGAGCGUUGCGCUUUUUGU
Arachis stenosperma is the source of this 748-nucleotide long non-coding RNA. RefSeq lists it as uncharacterized. NCBI's taxonomy places the organism in Eukaryota, Viridiplantae, Streptophyta, Magnoliopsida, Fabales, Fabaceae. The record is from RefSeq and is a predicted model, not a curated record. The transcript is spliced from 4 exons.